GUAACGGUGUCUUUAGACACCACCAUUUUAUUCAAAAUUUUAAUU
Molecule: non-coding RNA, 45 nt
Organism: Picea glauca (white spruce)
Lineage: Eukaryota; Viridiplantae; Streptophyta; Pinopsida; Pinales; Pinaceae
Source: Rfam